GGUUGAUCCUGCCAGUAGUCAUAUGCUUGUCUCAAAGAUUAAGCCAUGCAUGUCUAAACAUCUUUAUACAGUGAAACUGCGUACAGCUCAUUAUAUCAGUAAUUAUUUAUUUGAUGGUACCUUACUACAUGGAUAACCGUAGUAAUUCUAGAGCUAAUACAUGCGUAAAAUCCCGACUGCAAGGAAGGGAUGUAUUUAUUAGAUAAAAAAUCAAUGCAGUAAUGCUUCAUUGGUGACUCAUAGUAACUGUUCGAAUCGCAUGGCUUUAUGCUGGCGAUAGUUCAUUCAAAUUU
This 293-nucleotide ribosomal RNA is filed under the name uncultured eukaryote. Its description in RNAcentral is "partial 18S ribosomal RNA". It matches the Rfam family "Eukaryotic small subunit ribosomal RNA", at positions 6 to 306 of the family's 1831-position model. The record is from RNAcentral.